This 93-nucleotide non-coding RNA is filed under the name Candidatus Cryptoclostridium obscurum. Its description in RNAcentral is "TPP riboswitch (THI element)". It matches the Rfam family "TPP riboswitch aptamer (THI element)", at positions 11 to 88 of the family's 105-position model. Rfam says of the family: Vitamin B(1) in its active form thiamin pyrophosphate (TPP) is an essential coenzyme that is synthesised by coupling of pyrimidine and thiazole moieties in bacteria. The previously detected thiamin-regulatory element, thi box was extended, resulting in a new, highly conserved RNA secondary structure, the THI element, which is widely distributed in eubacteria and also occurs in some archaea. Lineage: Bacteria; Bacillati; Bacillota; Clostridia. The record is from RNAcentral.
AGAGGGGAGCUUGAUCCAUCAGGCUGAGAGGAAGCGAAAAGGAGCUUCGACCCUUUGACCUGAUGUGGAUAAUGCCACCGUAGGAAGCUGAUA